Molecule: long non-coding RNA, 6357 nt
Filed under: Lactuca sativa (garden lettuce)
Lineage: Eukaryota; Viridiplantae; Streptophyta; Magnoliopsida; Asterales; Asteraceae
Description: long non-coding RNA (LSAT_LNC004208)
Source: RNAcentral
UAACAUACAUAAAUCACAAUACACAUAAUCUCAAGCAUACACAUAUGAUCUUCCAGUCCACACAUUGAUACCACCCUAGGUGAUGUAAAGUGAGAAGACUCACCUCGGUUAGCAGGUAACCGACAAGCACUUGGAAAUCUUGGACUCGCCUCCGCCUAACAUAUAAGACAAGCAUCUCAAUCAUUAUCCGUCUUAUUACACUUUAUACCUUAAGUCCUCUUUUCCUCUUUUGACCCUCAGGAUGGGUAAAAGACCAUUUUACCCCUCCUUGGCCCCACCUGCCCCCUUACUGGGCGACUCAUGAAGUCAACAGAAGUCAACCUGGGUCAACAUUCCAUGUUGCCCUGACUCACUGAGUGUACACUCGUGACUCACUGAUUCCCUCUAAUUCUCCAUGAUCUUUCUAGGGUUCGCUCAGCUCAUUGAUUUGACUCCCAAAUCGAUGAGUCAACACUUGCCAAGACUACUGGGUCACACCCGCUACAACUCGUCGAGUCGUCCCACGGACUUGGCGAGUUGGCUCCAUAGGAUUACUCAUUCAACCACCUAAGGUCAGAUAUGUAGCUCUAACUCGUAGAUUUAACCUCCUACUACCCAAAAGUCGCGUAAAUGUCCGAUCUUGAUGUCCAUGCAUGGUGUAUUUUGCAUUAUAAACCAUAAAAACUCCAUUAAUGGUUCCUAGCUUCAAAUCCCAAUGGUUGCUCCACCAUGGCUUCCCACUUUCGGACUCUCUGGACCCUCUUAGGUCCAGAUCUACGCUGCCAGCUCAUAAGAGGGGUUUGAUGCAUUGAAAACCCCACCAAGAAGGUAAUACAAGCCAUAAUCCACAAAUGAAAGAUCUACUCAAAUAGGGAAGAAAGGGGUCUGAAUUGAUACCUCCAACUGAUGCUCCUUGAUUGCAAAUCGUGGAUCUACAACCUCUUCUGGCCCCUUUGGCUUAAAACCUUCCUCUUCCUUGCAAGACACCCACCAAGAAGCUCAACAUGGAUCUUUCUCUUGCCCAAAGCACUCAGGACUCAUUUAGGGUACUCUCCUCUGAAGGGUAGCCGCAAUAGGAGACCUUAAGUCCCUUUAAAUAGGCCCAGACCCGAAAGAAUUAGGGUUUCUACCAACAGCGCUGAGUCGGCGAGUCAUCUCUCCGACUCCUCGAGUCCAUUCAUUAUCCACAUCACCAAGGUGUGACCCUACUCGACGAGUUGAGGCACCAACUCGUUGAGUCCCUCCAAAAUACUUAAAUUAAAUAAUUAAAACAAUAUACCUGGUAAACCGGAUGUUACAAUUCUCCCCCACUUUAAUUAGAUGUUGCCCUCGAAAUCGCUCCUUAACCACACAUAGAUUGAAUCCAACAACCCGAAAGGCACUACCGAAAGGAUCUCAUACCACACCGAUAUCUUUUUCCAUGGACACCUGAAUCCACAAAGAAAUUCCCAAGUCUGGAACCAAACUAGCCCUUAUGCUGCUAAGAUACCCAUUUCUGACCUUCCCAAAAUCAGGAAACUCUAGUGGCCUGGCCCGCCGCCAGACCGCCCACUCACGCUAUCACCAUGCUAUUCGCUCCUCGAACAUCAAACCUUGAUAACUCACUACUCCUCUGAUUCUCACAAGACAAAAUCCAACAAUCGGCUACUGGUCACUCAUACCAAACGUACAAGACGAUCUGAAUCACGCCCCAAGGGACGAAAGGGUUCACAUCCCACCAGGGGCUCAUCCACUAAACUACUAUCAUAACCCAUCCGAACAAUAAACUUUCAACACCUUGUUCUCCGACAUAAGAACAAAAACUAAUCAUGCUCGCUCAGAGGUCCUCAGACAUCUAAAAAUCGUAAUCCUUCCCUUUCUCCUAGAUAUAUCUUUUUAACAUUUAGCACAUGGUCUACUCUCGACCCUACGGUUGGAACCACUCAUCCCAAUGAACAACUCAACUCAUGACUCAUGAACUGCAACCCAUGCGUACCUCAAUUAUCCACUUCCCUUUGGUUGCCACAACCACUACUCAAUUCAGAAUAUAACGAUUCCUGACAAAUAUGGAGACCCCAGUCUCGCCCCUGGUUCGACCACCAGGCUCCUAAAAUCUCAAAUAUUAGGGCUACCCAAGCCUAAAACUCUUAUGCGUCAUGCUCUGAUCAAAGAUUACUUCAUCACAACACUCUCUCGCUGACUAGUGAGUACUACGGCUCCCCGCAGUAUCACAACACCAUUUCGCUGACUAGUGAGUACUACGGCUCCCCGCAGCAUCACAACAACCUCUCACUGACUAGUGAGUACUACGACUCCCCACAACAUCACAACAAUCUCUCACUGACUAGUGCGUACUACAGCUCCCCAUAGCAUCACCACACCCCUUUGCAUUAACUCAUUGAAUUGCAGCUCCCCGCAGUCUUACCGUACUUGCUCUUACCACUUCAUAAUUUCAUCCUCAGGUCGACGCCAUAAUUUGAUCAUUAACUCAUGCCCUGCAUACCAACCAUAGAUAGGUGUACACACUUACCCAAAUUAUGCAUCACUAUUUCUGUCGACAUCCAUCAUAACAAAACACCUUUCCCUGCUGCAAUCCACAUUCUCGAAUAAUCUCUCUUGAUGUCAUUUGGCCAAAGGGCUCCCACUGGAACCGUAGAUACUUGAUACACCACAUGCCAUCUCAAACUCAACUCAAAAUAAUCCGAGAUUUAGGACAUUAUACUUGGAUACCCCGAUACACCAUCACAACACCUUGCAAUGUCUUGACUCUACCACUGAUCUUAUACUCAUGGCAUCAUACUCAGAUACCGCAUUGCUUCCUCGGAAUCUCGCAUCCGAUCUUCCUCUCGUCCUACUUGUAACCCCGGAAUACUCGAUCUCCCAAUUUUAAAUGCGGAGAAAUUGCCAACAAAUCAGAACACGAAGAUGACCCUCCGAAACUCUUUCCUCUAUUGCUAAAAAAAGAAGCGAGAUUACGCAUGCCGACCCGGAAAUUGGCUGCCCGAUCAUCUCUUACCCUUUCCAAAGAGCAUAGAAUAAUCCAGUCAUCGAACCAAAAUUUCUAAACUUUCGAAGUAUCCUUACGAACCAACCACGUCAAAUUCACCAUUACAACCUCGAAAAAUUCUUAUCUACCAGAAGACCUCUGACCAACGACCACCUGCCGUGCAGACACUCAUACUUUCUUGAACAUGUACAACAUGCAUUAACUCACUAUACAACUCACCUCCACCACCAAUAACCCUGGUCUUAUGUAUCCAUAGUGCAUGUUUCUAUAUCCAGCUCCCUAACCGCUCUUGAACAAGUCUCUGAUCCUCUAAAAAAAAUACCCGGUUCUCCCCCACUCGGGGUUACAACCAUCACCAAUUGGUGCACCAAUAAUCUAUUCCACAGACCGUUUCCACCAGGAACACCACACUUAUUCUUGAAAGGUACUACACAAUGCUCGAUGGUCUCCCCGAUAGAGACCCCGCAACUCCAAAUAUCCCGAAUCUCAGAUGAAAUCCUCAGAAACUUCUCAUCAUGAUUGCCUCUACUCAUACAGAAUCUCAUACUAUCCCAUUACCGGACAUCUCAAUUAUCCAGUAGUAACCCUGACUUUUAAUCUGAAAAAAAUGAACAAUCAUACUCCUCAUCCUCGACUCCUCAACCAACGUUUCAUCACGUAGAUUGUAAUAAGAGCGGAGACCUCAUUACCACACUCGAUACUCAUCAUAGACAAUAAGAGCCACCGCCCCAAUAUCCUCUUCAUCAUUGUCCUCUAUUGUAGCUAAUACAUGCCCUACUAUACUUAAAUAGGGUGUAUUCUUUUCCGUAACCAUCUCAGUCCCCACUAACAACCAACUCAUGCUCUAUCAUUACCUCUCGGUAGACAUACUGCCCAAAUACUCUGAUGGAAGUUCGACAUCAAUGCUAACCCGUAGGGUUUUAUCCCCAAGCUCAGAAACCGAAAUCUCAACAUCCCUUAUGUUUCCCACAGGAAAUGGAAAUAUCACCACUCAGGUCACAAAAGGUGACAUCUCCACUAUCGUCUGAUUGCUCAACUCAAGCCGCAAUCCUCCAUAAACGCAAUCUCUACUCAUUCUUGAAUCUCUACUCAUUCUUGAAUCUUGUGACUUCAUCUGACAUCUCACCAAAAAAACCUUAGACUCAUCUCGACUUCCCUCACAAGGGAUGCUUUGAUGGAAGUUGUUCCACAUGCCCCUCUGACCUCAUACUCUAUCGCAUUCGAUCUCGGUCUAACCAAUCACAACGGAAGAACUUGUAGAUCUAGUAACACUAACCGCCACGGGUCAUGGUACUCGAACCAUGUGGCCACCUCUCAAUUAGCUAUAAACCAUGGUACUCGAACGACGUUAUCUCCUCUUAAUCUGGUACGGAUCAUGGUACCCGAACCAUGUUCUCUCUUCUCAAUCUGCUACAAAGCAUGGUACACGAACAAGGGAAUCACCAAUCAAUCUGCUACUUAGCAUGGUACUAGAACCAUGACAUCACUUCUCAAUCUGCUACUUAGCAUGGUACCCGAACCAUGAAAUCACCUCUCAAUCUGCUACAUAGCAUGGUACUCGAACCAUGACAUCACCUCUCAAUCUGCUACUUAGCAUGGUACUCAAACCAUGACAUCACCUCUCAAUCUGCUACCAAUCAUGGUACUCGAACCAUGACAUCACCUCUCAACCUGCUACCAAUCAUGUUACUUAAACCAUGACAUCACCUUUCAACCUACUACUUAGAACCUCUAGAAUACUCCCUACAUCAAGUAUAGGUCCUCUGAUUUCAAUAGUACGGGCCCAUACUACCUGCCACAUCAACCCAUACGUUCCACACAGACCAUCCCAUAUUUCCUAAGUAGCUGAUCAACCUUCUCGUUCAUCCACCUCGUUACAUGUGUUCACUCCCCAGCUAAAUGCUCUAUCCUGUCAUCGCACUCAUCUGACCACGGUCACCCCCUAGGCUCUUCCUAGGUGCUCACAAUACUCUACCAUUAGCUGAUGAAGAACUCCUAAUGAUUCCAACCAUUUACUUUCCGAAUUUCGUCAUAUUCACUUAGUAGCUGACUGCCAUCAUUGAGAGUUCUACAAAGCAUGAAGCAAGCAGCAUUUGGGCAUCGAAAAUCUCUACCAACACGUAAACUACUCUAGGUUACAACUCCACUUGCUAUAUUCAAACACAACAGGUGUCACCGAACUAAAGCACUCUACCCCACACGGGCAUAUAAAUACUCUCUCAGUAGGCAUCCUUCGAUGCUUAUCUAGGUAUCUCUCCUAGACUACUCCUCUACUCAAAGCUCUAUCUUUGAAAUAUUCUUGCUGUAUACUCUUACUAAGCACAUACUCGAAAUCAUAUAACAGAUAACAACAACUCCUAGGCUAAGGCGUCACAAAUCAAGCCACUUUAGUCCUAAAAUAUGAAGUACAUAUCCUACUGUCUAGCAUGCAUAACAUAUCUCAUAAUAUUUGAUAACACAUAACAUAAGGGUAUUUUAGGAAAUCACCGUUCCGACGUAGGCUGAUUGUACAAACUACUCUUUUCCGCUUUCUCUUGAAAUAUUUUACUCGUUUCCAGAAAAAUCAUUUCUUUUGAAAACUUUUCUCAAAUCCUAAGUUUGAGUCCAGACAUACCUGAAGGUGUAUCCGAAUCCCUCAAACCACGGAUCUGAUACCAAGUUGUAAUGAUGAAAAUUUUCAAACAAAUUUUUCAUUUUAAAAUCCCAUACUUUUCAUAACAUAUUGUAUAAAAAUCUCGUUUGUUCAAUUUACAAAACACAACUCCAUGUUUGAUUUAUUAAUAAUCCAGGAUCCUCAAAACAUAACUCUUUCUCUGGUGUGUACAAUCAAGCCGGUGCCAUCCUACGAUCUUGAGAAACAUGAAACACAUAACACAUAACAUGGUAAGCACGAAGCUUAGUGAGCUUCCCAAAAUACCACAUACAAUAAUUCGCCAUUUGAGGCUAAAAUCCAUAAGUCCCUCUGGUAAAUGUGUCUCAGUGGGACCCUCCUGUCCUGUAGCUCUUUGGACCCUCUGAUCCGGUCUUGCUCGUUGGACCCUCCGGUCUGGUCUGGUUGAGCACCCUCUGGCCUCGUAAAUCGUUGGACCCUCUCAUCCGGUCAGAAUAGCACAUAACAUACAUAAAUCACAAUACACAUAAUCUCAAGCAUACACAUAUGAUCUUCCAGUCCACACAUUGAUACCACCCUAGGUGAUGUAAAGUGAGAAGACUCACCUCGGUUAGCAGGUAACCGACAAGCACUUGGAAAUCUUGGACUCGCCUCCGCCUAACAUAUAAGACAAGCAUCUCAAUCAUUAUCCGUAUUAUUACACUUUAUACCUUAAGUCCUCUUUUCCUCUUUUGACCCUCAGGAUGGGUAAAAGACCAUUUUACCCCUCCUUGGCCCCACC